Molecule: long non-coding RNA, 353 nt
Organism: Sinocyclocheilus grahami
Lineage: Eukaryota; Metazoa; Chordata; Actinopteri; Cypriniformes; Cyprinidae
Exons: 3
Source: RefSeq, a predicted model, not a curated record
GUUUGGCGGGCGGCGCGCGAGCACCUGAGCUGCUGCUGCAGGGGUUUCCAUAGCGAGCGCACUAGCUCACUCACUUCAGCGGGAACACCGCGGACUUCCUGAUGCGGGACAAUGCGUGCAUUCCGCUCGCAUUUACGCCACAGAAUCGGCUGAAGGGAUGUAGGCGGAGCGCGGACGCGAGCUACAAAGGUCAUGAGUGCCUUGAGGAGAACAGCUGUUGAGAAGAACCUCACCUGGACCACACACUCCUACCAACUCCCAGCAUCCCAGUAUGACGUCUGAUUUAGAGCAGGAUGCUACAGUGAAGUUGGAACAGGAGCGAGCUGAGAUACUUGCCAAAUAUGACAAGGUGA